This 2174-nucleotide long non-coding RNA is filed under the name Mus pahari (shrew mouse). Its description in RNAcentral is "lncRNA (MGP_PahariEiJ_G0005242.1)". Lineage: Eukaryota; Metazoa; Chordata; Mammalia; Rodentia; Muridae. The record is from RNAcentral.
AGCGAUGCUCGCGGCUCCGCUUUGGGCUCCGUCUUCCCACAGCCGCCUUCGGUCUCGUAUAGCCGACCCUGUUCAGGAACCGGUUACGUUGUUGAGAUCUUCCUGCCUGCGCUUCACUUACAGGUUUGUGUCACUCGUCCCACUUUACCUCACUACAGUCCUUUAAGGUAAUGUCAUAAUCCCCGUUUUAGAAAUGAUUCUGAGAUUCAGAAAGGCUGCUCAGGACUUGCUGCCUGACUCCCCACUUCAUCCCUGGGAGAAAGAAUUGAAGGUUAAGAGAGAAGGCUCAACCCUCAACUAAAAAAAAAAAAAACUUUCCUUGAUGUGGAUGGCCUUCUCAGAGUGAAGAUGGGAAAUUUUAGAUUCUGAGUUUCUUAGAUUGAGGUGACCCCGUCCUUCAAUCUCCCUAUUUCCUAGGGAGGAAAUUGUGUCUAGAGAUUAUAUCGAGACAGAGCAAAAAUGGAGUUAUUAAGUACUUAAAUUUCUACUACGAGAUGUUCUUCCAUUAGGAAAAACAAAACAAAAAACCUGGAAUUCUUUUUUUUAAAAAACACAGAUAAAGCAUUCAUGGCUCCAGUUUCCAAAGUGAACAUGUGUUAAUGUUUCAUAAUUUGGUAUUUUUAGGGUAAAGAACUUGAACUUAAGAAAAGGUGGAAUUCUCCUGUUUGGGCUCUCUGAAUGGUUGUAUUUUGUGAAUUGAUCUACAGCUUGGUUUUUAAGGAAUGUCAUGGCCUAGGUUCGACUUUUAAAAAAUUAUGCCAUGAAAGGGGGAAAGCAGUUUGGGAACAGGUCACAGUGUGAUGUUGUGGUGACUUGCUUUGGAGCUGAGACCUACAUGGGUAAGUCAUCCCAAAAGCUAUGCUAUUGUUUGGCUACCUUUGUAAAACUUGGUGCCUUCUCUGCUCCGAGGUGAGCUCUAAAACACUACUGAGAGAGUGGAGAAGAACUCCCCGGGACUGAGGACCCCCAGAGACUUCUUGAGACAAGUAGGCUUUUGGAGAGCUGCUGGGAACUGAAAGUACCAGGAGGGUUCGCUAAGUGAAGCAGCCUUGAGUGAGUAGCCAUUUCUCAAGAACGUAUGGAUUGUGUCAUAGAAGGAGCAGCAGGGCCUGGGGUGGGACUCUUGGCAGAGCACUGGCCCAGCAUACUGGAGGCCCUGGGUAUGAGUUUUGUCACCAAAAGAGGCAAAACUGUGAAUCAAGAGGAACUAUUCCAUUUCUACUCUAAGAUGUAACACGUUUUAGUGUGAGGCCAAAAAGUACUGUUCAUUUUAAAGACUUAAACAUCUAGUAUUGUUACUCGUAUGGUCUUUUAUAAACAUACUACAUUAGGCUCUAAUUUCUUAAGAGCAAAUAUGUGUUGAUUUCGUACCUUUAGCGCAUGAGAAUGACAUAAAAAGGGUGCUCAUUAAAUUAAUGAAUGAAGAAACCUUAAACUCACCACUUUUUGGCAGGAUUUUCUAUAGACUAGGUUGGCUCAAAUAUGGAAUCCUCCUGCUUUGGCCUCCCCAAAUGACAAAAUGGCAGUGGUGCAAUAUGUCAGCUGUGCAGUGUCACAUCAGAUGGCAUCACCAUUGUCCAGGCAGAUGCUCUUUUCUCAGCAGGGCAUUUGGGGCUUUGCUAGUCCUACCUUCCUCUGCGAGGUCUGAGGAGGAGUCUGAUUGCCCAACCUUUGGGUGUUCUGAUGACUUCCUGUUAAACAAACUGAAACCUUAUUUUCUGGGGGUUCUACAAUGCUAAUGUUUUCAUUUAUUUUUGUAUUUCAAGUCUACACUUUCCUUUUAAAGCUAAAGUAGUUACCAAGUUUAGGAGGUAGGUGACUGUACUCGCUGUUUUUGUAUGCCAACUUGACACAAGCUAGAGUUAUUGCAGAGAAAGGAGCCUCCCUCGAGGAAAUGCCUCUAUGAGAUCCAACUGUAAGGCAUUUUCUCAAUUAGUGAUCAAGGGGGGAGGGCCUAGCCCAUUGUGGGUGGUGCCGUCCCUGGGCUAGUAGUCAGUCCUGGUUCUAUAAGAAAGCUGAGUAAGCUGGGGAGGCAAGCCAGGAAGUAACAUCCCUCCAUGACCUCUGCAUCAGCUCCUGCCUCCAAGUCCCUGCCCUGUGUGAGUUCCAGUCCUGACUUCCUUGGUGAUGAACAGCAGUGUGGAAGUGUAAGCUGAAUAAACCCUUUCCUUCCC